AUGCAAAACAUCAACCGGAUGACGAUCUCCAACACCACCAUGUCAAAGCUCCGCAUCGUGCUUGGACCCCCAGGUUGGGCUGACAUGCCAGAUGGGCUAUUGUAUUCCAUCAUGGUCCUGUUGGGUUCAACCCGCGACCUUCUUGCAUUCAUUGCCACCUGCCCCAGUUGGCGUUCCGCGUUCAUGUCAAUUAAGCCUGCCUUAGACAUGAUCUUCCCACCUGUUAUUUUUCGAAACUGUGCCGACCAGACAAGCCCAACUGACUCCAACAGCGGAAAAACAUGGGAGCUCAUUGAUCUUGCCUAUCCAAGUACUACAUUACGUUGGUUGAGCCCCCCAAAUAUUUUGGACACAAUGGAAUUUUUAAAAUGUUCUUAUGGUCAUGCUAUCUUCUCCUCCGGCAGAUCUCAUGUCAUUAUGGACGUGCUUAGUGGCAUUAUGGUUGCAGCUCCACCUUGCCCAUCUAUUCAGCUCUGCUAUAGAACAUUCAUAUUUCCAGAAGCAUGGCCGGAUUCAUAUCUGUUUGUCAGCGGUCCGCACUGCCUGUACGCUUGGCGAGUUGGGAGCCCCUCUUGGUUGCACUGUGAUUUUCUACAGGCACAUUUGAUCCAUGAGAUGGUGGCCUUCAAAGGCCUGGUCAUUGCGAGGAUAUGUCAAAAGCUGUACGUCGUGCAUUUGGCACCUCAGUUUCAUGUUGAGGUACUAAGAGUUGCUUGCAGCGAUAAUAUAAACCAUCCAAGCUUUCUGGAACGUUGGUGGCUUGUGAAGACAUGCUUCUCCUAUUUGGUCGUAACAGGCAAGCCCUCUCCAUCGAAUUUUCGACUGAACCUGCAAAGUACGUGA
RNAcentral lists this ribosomal RNA (843 nucleotides) under Triticum aestivum (bread wheat). RNAcentral describes it as "partial small subunit ribosomal RNA". Lineage: Eukaryota; Viridiplantae; Streptophyta; Magnoliopsida; Poales; Poaceae. The record is from RNAcentral.